GAUGAACGCUGGCGGCGUGCUUAACACAUGCAAGUCGAACGGAAAGGCUCCUGCUUGCAGGGGUACUCGAGUGGCGAACGGGUGAGUAACACGUGGGUGAUCUGCCCUGCACUUCGGGAUAAGCCUGGGAAACUGGGUCUAAUACCGGAUAGGACGAUGGUUUGGAUGCCAUUGUGGAAAGUUUUUCGGUGUGGGAUGAGCUCGCGGCCUAUCAGCUUGUUGGUGGGGUAAUGGCCUACCAAGGCGUCGACGGGUAGCCGGCCUGAGGGGGUGUACGGCCCCUUUGGGCCUGGGUUACGCCCCGGCCCCCCCGGGGGGGCAGCGUGGGGGAUUUUUGCCCAAGGGGCGCACCCCUGUUGCGGGGCCCCCGCGGGGGGGAUGCCGGCCUUGGGUUUGUAAACCCCUUUCCCUGGGGCCGAGGCGCAAGUGCCGGUCCCUGGAGAAGACGCACCGGCUACCUCCGU
RNAcentral lists this ribosomal RNA (464 nucleotides) under uncultured bacterium. RNAcentral describes it as "partial 16S ribosomal RNA". It matches the Rfam family "Bacterial small subunit ribosomal RNA", at positions 28 to 506 of the family's 1533-position model. The record is from RNAcentral.